GGGGAUGAUCGGUUUCGACAUUGCUUGCGACUCUGCGUGAAGCGGGUCGAGGAUGCGGGGUCAUCUCGUAAACGCCCCUCGCAACCUAUAGGUGCCAACGCUAAGCGCACCGACUUCGCCCUCGCCGCCUAGGCGAGCCCGAUAGUCCGUCAGCCCGGGAGCGCUCUCGUCCCGGAUCCUGGCGUCAUUGAGAGAGCUUGCCGCGCCGCUGCGUUUCAGGACGGCGCGGGACAUGAACUGGAACUGGGCUCGUCGAUCAACAUGCCUGUCUGCAUGAUCGGAGCCGAGCAGAACGAAUGACAGGCUGCACCCGGAGAAGACGCAGGCUCACAGCAGUGGACGGGGGUUCGAUUCCCCCCAUCUCCAC
This 367-nucleotide transfer-messenger RNA is filed under the name Pseudoclavibacter triregionum. Its description in RNAcentral is "Pseudoclavibacter sp. 125703-2019 transfer-messenger RNA, SsrA". It matches the Rfam family "transfer-messenger RNA". Rfam says of the family: Bacterial tmRNA, also known as 10Sa RNA or SsrA, is named for its dual tRNA and mRNA-like properties. Its role is to liberate the mRNA from a stalled ribosome. To accomplish this part of the tmRNA is used as a reading frame that ends in a translation stop signal. The record is from RNAcentral. Lineage: Bacteria; Bacillati; Actinomycetota; Actinomycetes; Micrococcales; Microbacteriaceae.